GAUGAAGAACGUAGCGAAAUGCGAUACGUAAUGUGAAUUGCAGAAUUCAGUGAAUCAUCGAAUCUUUGAACGCAUAUUGCGCUCUCUGGUAUUCCGGAGAGCAUGCUUGUUUGAGUAUCAGUAAACACCUCAACUCCCUUUUCUUUUUUGAAAUUGGAGCUGGACUUGAGUGAUCCCAACGCUUUCUUCCAAGAAAGUGGCGGGUUGCUUGAAAUGCAGGUGCAGCUGAACUUUUCUCUGAGCUAUAAGCAUAUCUAUUUAGUCUGCCUAAAAAACAGAUUAUUACCUUUGCUGCAGCUAACAUAAAGGAGACUAGUUCUUGUGUUGACUGAUGCAGGAUUCACAGAGACAGCUUCGGCUGACUUUGUAAACUCGAUCUCAAAUCAAGUAAGACUACCCGCUGAACUUAAGCAUAUCAAUAAGCGGAGGA
Molecule: unclassified non-coding RNA, 430 nt
Filed under: soil metagenome
Description: partial contains 5.8S ribosomal RNA, internal transcribed spacer 2, and large subunit ribosomal RNA
Rfam family: 5.8S ribosomal RNA (bases 1-120)
Source: RNAcentral